AGACCUGAUAUUAAGUAAGAUUACC
This 25-nucleotide ribosomal RNA is filed under the name Cryptosporidium parvum. RNAcentral describes it as "partial 28S ribosomal RNA". The record is from RNAcentral. RNAcentral also lists the same sequence under 1 other name. Lineage: Eukaryota; Apicomplexa; Conoidasida; Eucoccidiorida; Cryptosporidiidae.